GGGGGUUUAGCUCAGUGGCAUAGCGCCUGCCUGGCAAGCACAAGGUCCUGGGUUUGAUUCCCAUGUCCCCUC
Molecule: transfer RNA, 72 nt
Filed under: Cavia porcellus (domestic guinea pig)
Lineage: Eukaryota; Metazoa; Chordata; Mammalia; Rodentia; Caviidae
Rfam family: tRNA
About the family: Transfer RNA (tRNA) molecules are approximately 80 nucleotides in length. Their secondary structure includes four short double-helical elements and three loops (D, anti-codon, and T loops).
Source: Rfam by way of RNAcentral